UUAGCGCUAGGGCGGUGGGUUAGUUAGUUGAGUUGGGGGACGCCCUACAAGAAAUAAGAUACCUUAGAUAAAGUCAAUGAUAUUACAAGAAUCAGAGUCAUGUAAGUUGACUUCCUCAAGAAUGAUGUUUAUGAUAUGACAAGUUACAUCUAUGAUUCAUAAUGCACCUAACUUGAUUGACUUUAGCUUCAAUCUUUCAUGAUGAUUCUUU
RNAcentral lists this long non-coding RNA (211 nucleotides) under Linum usitatissimum (flax). Its description in RNAcentral is "long non-coding RNA (LUSI_LNC007505)". The record is from RNAcentral. Lineage: Eukaryota; Viridiplantae; Streptophyta; Magnoliopsida; Malpighiales; Linaceae.